RNAcentral lists this long non-coding RNA (2355 nucleotides) under Olea europaea (common olive). RNAcentral's name for it is "long non-coding RNA (OEUR_LNC002966)". Lineage: Eukaryota; Viridiplantae; Streptophyta; Magnoliopsida; Lamiales; Oleaceae. The record is from RNAcentral.
AUAAUGUAACAGUUACUUAAAUAAAUCUAUUGACUUUUUCAUUUAUAGUGUUUAAUGCUAUUAAUAAUGUUUGAUGAGGUGAAUUUAUUUUAUUAAAAUAGGAGUGUAGUGUAAAAAAAUAAAUGCUAUUCAUAGUGUAUCAGCUUUAACAGAGGAGUUAAUAGGGCUCACUAUUGUUAUGUGGAUUAUGUAACAAAGUUUAAUCACACUAUUUAGAGUUUUGAUGGAUGUACAGAGCCAUUUCAACAGAAGUUCUUUAAAUCCCUCACAUGAGAUGAGUACCGCUCAUUUAAAAAUUACCCCAAAAAUCCACACUCGAUCCAUAUUUGUGUGUGUACUGUAGGAGUUCUGUAAAAUCCCUACCCGGUACCCAAGCAUGACUCCACUAUUUAUAGGUCAAAAUCAUUGUCACAACAAGUCACGAUCACAUACCACCUGACUUUUUAAAAGUUUUUAUAAGUUUGUUAAUUUUAAAAUUGUAUUCUUAAAUUAUAGAAGUUAUGAAAUUUAUUUUUUCUUAUGUGGUUUUGAAAUUGUUUGGGCCUUGUUGAUCCCAUCUGAGUCUUCCUUGUGGAACCAACAACAAUGUCUCUCCCUUCAGCUUCUGGGCCUCAAAGCCUUUUGCACUGUAUUUUCUUUACAUUUCGGGCUUUGAAGUUCAUGAUAGAUCAGGCCUUAUACCCUCCUUGAGUGGUACUUUGCUAUCGGGAAAGAAAAUCAUAAAUACCUAUGAAAUAAAAAAAAGAUUUCACAUUAUACUAAAAUACUUAUUUAUAUACUUAUUAUACUGUAUAACCCUCAAAAUAAUACCCAAUUUACAGACUUUGAGACUUUUCCAUUUUUGAAUUGUAACUGAAAUUGAAAUGCAUGAUUUACGUUACAAUUAAAUUAAUUCAAAUUAUAAAUGAUUUUCGAUUGUACAAGAAUGUCAAAAAGGAAAUUACGUGCAAUCUUUUUCCGAUUGAUUAAUUUAAAUCUGAUUUUCAUUCCUAGCUACUGAAUAUUUAACCUUUGCUUGUGCAGCCCAUUUGUGCCUCGAAUCUAACUCGAGCAAAUUUUAUUUAUUGAAAUCAAGGAAAACAUUAUUUAACAUGUGAAUUAUUAAUAAUUCUUUUUUGUGAAAUAUCAUGCAACUCGUAAAAUAGUUUGAAAUUUAACCACUUACUUUUGCAAUUCCACCAAUAUUUUUAACUACAUUUUAUGUGAUAUAUGGAUUUACAUUAACUGAAUUAUAUGAUAUGUGAGAUGGGUUUGUGAACUUGAUAAUAAUCGUGAAAUGAUGUUAGUGGAUUCAUUAAUUAUGAGAAAUGAUGUUGCUCUUUUUUCCUUUUUUCGUUUUUUGGUAUUUCGUUAUUUCGAGGAUUGCGUCUUUGAAUUUGACCCAUUGAUGAACUACAUAUUUGUGAGUGAUCACCAUUUGUUUAUCCCCAAUUUGUUAUACCUUUUCUGUUUUUUGUGUGCUUGUAGAUAUGGAUUCCAGUAAUGUGAUCAUAACUUGCGAUACGAAGAUUGGACUCCUCGUGCCUAGUGGUUGUAAAUCUGCAAAACUUUGUGAGAUGAUAUCUGUUGAGAUAAAAAUUGAUAACACGAUGGUUCUAUGAAAUAGAGUAUGAUAUCGAUGAUAACAUGGCCCGUUGAGGAUCACAAAUCACAGUUUGCUAAUUUUUUGUUCGGAGCUGAAGAGGAAGGAACCCCGUUGAUUUAUGCAUCACUUCAUUGCUGAAUUUUUUAAAUAACAUUUGAAUCAUGUUUUUCUCUUGGUAAAAUUGAUGCUUCAUCCAUGUAUCCAAUUUUUCAUCAAUAAGAAAUUGGGUGUCUAUGAUUCCUAUAUGGUUUUGAGAUAAAGCCCAUCAGCAUCCAAUGUUUCUUUCCCAACUCAAUUGUAUAAUAUUUUUUUGGCUAAAAAACUAAUGUUCUCGUGGAGCCAAUGUUGUACUUAUAUGCUAUUAUAACGUCAAAAUGCGUCCAAAUAACGGGAAUUCCAUUGAUGACCCGUAUAACCCGUAUAACGAAGUAGAUAUACACAUAUUAUAUUGUGUAACGAUGUACUUAUCUGUAAUCAUCUUCUGAAAUAUCAGUAGCAAUUUUCACAUCAAGAGGCUUAAUACGCUCUACCCAAUAGAUGAUGAUGGGUGACCAAGCAUUUAUCUUAACAAUGAGACAUGGCAGAAUAUAAGUAAAUGCUCUCACCACAUCUAUAACAAUCAUGUCUCUCACUAUUAGUCCGCCAUAUUAUUAUUGCAGAAAAAUGAUUUAUGAACGAGAAUAUGGAAUUAAGGAACCUUGGUAUAUGGAAAAGACUGAUCCAUGAGAUCCCUUUGAAUAUUUUGGUUUCCAAUCUCGUGUAGAUAGAAG